GUUUAUAUAGUUUAAUAAAAACAUUUCAUUUUCAAUGAAAAAAAAAGAAAUAAUUCUUUAUAAAUU
This 66-nucleotide transfer RNA is filed under the name Leucophoroptera quadrimaculata. Its description in RNAcentral is "tRNA-Glu". It matches the Rfam family "tRNA". Rfam says of the family: Transfer RNA (tRNA) molecules are approximately 80 nucleotides in length. Their secondary structure includes four short double-helical elements and three loops (D, anti-codon, and T loops). Lineage: Eukaryota; Metazoa; Arthropoda; Insecta; Hemiptera; Miridae. The record is from RNAcentral.